UGGAUUUCAAACUGCACUGGCUUCUCAGAGAUUCUUCUUCUCUGAUAGGUUUCCCCCCAGGGUCAAGGUGUGUUGAGUCCCUGUAGCAAUGCUGCAUUUCUUUUUGUUUUUGAUGUUAUCUUGACGAUGGAAUCCUUCUUUGAGACAAAUGGUGCCAAUGCUGGAGAGUAGGCGUUCACGAAGUUGGCACCCUGACAAACUGCUAUUCUGAGCUUCUGACCGGUCUAUCUAAUUGAACACUGGAGGUGAAUGCCACAGCUUUCAAAGAUUUUAGCAGUACGUCCAAUCGGCCUCACAACCGCAGACCACGUGUAACCACGCCAGCCCAGGACCUCCACAUCCAGCUUCUUCACCUGCGGGAU
Molecule: long non-coding RNA, 362 nt
Organism: Polyodon spathula (Mississippi paddlefish)
Lineage: Eukaryota; Metazoa; Chordata; Actinopteri; Acipenseriformes; Polyodontidae
Exons: 3
Source: RefSeq, a predicted model, not a curated record